AACCCAUGGUGAGGGCACUUUCUUAGUAAGUCCUUGUAUCUCUCCCAUGCAUCGUAAAGAUUUUUAAGUCCAUCUGUACAAAUAAAGAGAUAUCAUUACGUAAUUU
This 106-nucleotide small nucleolar RNA is filed under the name Gossypium hirsutum (cotton). RNAcentral describes it as "Plant small nucleolar RNA R71". It matches the Rfam family "Plant small nucleolar RNA R71". From Rfam's summary of the family: R71 is a member of the C/D box family of snoRNAs containing the C (UGAUGA) and D (CUGA) box motifs. Multiple nearly identical copies of this snoRNA have been identified in Arabidopsis, and it is thought to function as a 2'-O-ribose methylation guide for 18S ribosomal RNA. The record is from Rfam by way of RNAcentral. Lineage: Eukaryota; Viridiplantae; Streptophyta; Magnoliopsida; Malvales; Malvaceae.